CAGUCGCCGCGGUAAUACAGAGGGUGCGAGCGUUAAUCGGAUUUACUGGGCGUAAAGCGUGCGUAGGCGGCUUUUUAAGUCGGAUGUGAAAUCCCUGAGCUUAACUUAGGAAUUGCAUUCGAUACUGGGAAGCUAGAGUAUGGGAGAGGAUGGUAGAAUUCCAGGUGUAGCGGUGAAAUGCGUAGAGAUCUGGAGGAAUACCGAUGGCGAAGGCAGCCAUCUGGCCUAAUACUGACGCUGAGGUACGAAAGCAUGGGGAGCAAACAGGAUUAGAUACCCCAGUAGUCCCUGUAUCUUAUAC
Molecule: ribosomal RNA, 301 nt
Filed under: uncultured bacterium
Lineage: Bacteria
Description: partial 16S ribosomal RNA
Rfam family: Bacterial small subunit ribosomal RNA
Source: RNAcentral